RNAcentral lists this transfer-messenger RNA (339 nucleotides) under Candidatus Giovannonibacteria bacterium GWA2_45_15. It matches the Rfam family "transfer-messenger RNA". From Rfam's summary of the family: Bacterial tmRNA, also known as 10Sa RNA or SsrA, is named for its dual tRNA and mRNA-like properties. Its role is to liberate the mRNA from a stalled ribosome. The record is from RNAcentral. RNAcentral also lists the same sequence under 8 other names. Lineage: Bacteria; Candidatus Giovannoniibacteriota.
GGGGGUGAAAUUGGAUUCGAGGAAGAACAAAUAAUCAUGCGCUCAGGCAGAGGAUGUACGGUUAACCUCUUUAAUCAUCCGCACAACCAAUAAGUGCAAACUUAUUUUCUAAAGUUCGUGUCGCGCUUGGUCUAGAACCUGGUGGCGGCACUGGACUUGCUUUCGCAUUAGCGUAAGCCAUCCGUCUCUGAUUCUCGCUAAGAGAUCGCGGGUGUUAUAAGCGGGGCGGUGUUGAUAAAAGCUCUGCAUCAACGCAAGUAAACAGGGGCAAAAUCUAAGCUUGUCAAACGCAGAUUACGAGUUCUUCUGACGUGGGUUCAACUCCCACCACUUCCAAAU